AAUAAACGCUGGCGGCGUGCUUAACACAUGCAAGUCGAGCGAGAAAGGUCUUCGGACUGAGUACAGCGGCGAACGGGUGAGUAACGCGUGGGAAUCUGCCCUUCAGUGAGGAAUACCCUCGAGAAAUCGAGAUUAAUACCGCAUACGUCUAGAAAUAGAGAAAGAUGGCCUCUUUGCUGUCGCUGAAUGAUGAGCCCGCGUACUAUUAGCUAGUUGGUGGGGUAAUGGCCUACCAAGGCGAUGAUGGUUAGCCGGCCUGAGAGGGUGUACGGCCACACUGGAACUUAGACACGGUCCAGACUCCUACGGGAGGCAGCAGUGAGGAAUAUUGCGCAAUGGGCGAAAGCCUGACGCAGCGACGCCGCGUGGAGGAUGAAGGUCUUUGGAUUGUAAACUUCUGUUAAGUGGGAAGAAAGGCAAAGUUUUAAUACAACUUUGAUAUGACGGUACCAUUAGAGAAAGCACCGGCUAAACUCGUGCCAGCAGC
This 487-nucleotide ribosomal RNA is filed under the name uncultured bacterium. RNAcentral describes it as "bacterial SSU rRNA". It matches the Rfam family "Bacterial small subunit ribosomal RNA", at positions 29 to 515 of the family's 1533-position model. The record is from RNAcentral.